Molecule: non-coding RNA, 45 nt
Filed under: Schistosoma mattheei
Lineage: Eukaryota; Metazoa; Platyhelminthes; Trematoda; Strigeidida; Schistosomatidae
Source: RNAcentral
GUCCAGCUGACGAGUCCCAAAUAGGACAAAACGUACGUCCUGAAU